This 7354-nucleotide transfer RNA is filed under the name Salmo salar (Atlantic salmon). Its description in RNAcentral is "lncRNA (ENSSSAG00000110148.1)". The record is from RNAcentral. Lineage: Eukaryota; Metazoa; Chordata; Actinopteri; Salmoniformes; Salmonidae.
CCUUUUCACUCAUCUAGGUUAGUUUUGUGGAGUAACUACAAUGUUGUUGAUCCAUCCUCAGUUUUCUCCUAUCACAGCCAUUAAACUCUGUAACAGUUUUAAAAUCACCAUUGGCCUUAUGGUAAAUCCCUGAGCGGUUUCCUUCCUCUUCGGCAAAUGAGUUUGGAAGGACGCCUGUAUCUUUGUAGCGACUGGAUGUAUUGAUAGACCAUCCAAAGUGUAAUGAAUAAUUUCACCAUGCACAAAGCGAUAUUCAAUGUCUGCUUUAAAAAAAAAAUGUUUUACCCAUCUACAAAUAGGUGUCCUUUGCGAGGGACUGGUAAACCUCCCUGGUCUUUGUGAUUGAAUCUGUGUUUGAAAUUCACUGCUCAACUGAUGGCCUUAGAAAUAAUUGUAUGUGUGGGGUACAGAGAUAAGGUCGUCAUAAAAAAAAACGAAUACUUAUUGACUCAAGACAUUUCAGCUUCAUUUCUUUUAUUAAUUAGUAAACAUUUGAAAAAACAUAAUUCCACUUUGACAUUAUGGGCUAUUGUCUGUAGGCCAGUGAAAACAAAUCUAAAUGUAAUCCUUUUAAAUUCUGGCUGUAACACAACAAAAUUUGAAAUAUGUCAAAUGGUGUGAAUAGUUUCUAAAGGCACUGAAUGUGUGUGUGAGGCAGGUUGGUGAGCCAGCUCUUUCAUUGACCACAGAAAUACCCAGGUCAGCUCUACGUUACUCUACAUUUCAGUUCCUCGUGGCAGAGAGAGACAAGGAGUGAUAUAAAGUUUGGAAUAGAGAGAAAGCAUGUGAAUCCCCUAAACAGUUCAAGAGAGACCAACAGCACCGCAAGAGUUUCGAGGAUAGAAAACCCAUGAAUGUUUCUCUCAUUGAGACAAUCACACACAUUAUUCAUUACACAACAGCCUUUAUUAAUCAUAUUCAAUAAUAGAUUAAAAAACAUAUUUUGACUGUUAUUAUGUUUACUAAGCACACACACUAACACAAACACUUUCACCUGUACCCUAUUUGAAUAGCUGGAGCGCACCCUGCUUAAAUCUCUGCAGUCUUUUCAAACCUGCAAUGGUGAGUCAUAAAGGAAAGAGGGGAGAAAAGCAGUGUUCAAUGUGGAAUCAGGCCUAUAGUAUUCUGAAUAAUAUCAGAGAUGAAGAGGCAAAGCGAGAGGAUUUACUCUGCCCAAAAUAUGGUCGUGUGAUAAGUGGGGAUUUUUUUGUAUGGAGGUCUAUGAGACAGAUAUGAAUUACGUGAGGUUUAUUUAAUCUGAUACAAGUUUCGUAAUGUUUAGGCUGUUACAAAUGUACUGAUAUAAGUGGAUUCACGUGGAAUUCCUGCACGACUUAGUUCAGGUUGGAAUGGUCCCACCUGAUCUUGCCUCCCGCCUGCAUUCCAUCUUUGAGGACAUGUAUUUCCAAUGUUAGAGCAGUCACUUGACUAUCUUGUCUAUAUAAUAGAUUGUCUUUGAUAAUACAGUAUUUAAUGCAGUAGUUAUAUGGCACUUCCUACACAAUGUGUGAUCUGCAAGGCUAGCCUGCCCUCUUCUGGUGAAUUGAAGGGAAAGGCAAUGCAUUCAACAUUGCCUUUAACAAUGUAAACCAUGGCGACAGGACACCCUCUAACCUAAAUAAAGUCAAAGCUUAUACACCACAAAAGUAUGUGGACACCCCUUGAAAUUAGUGCAUUCGGCUAUUUCAGCCACACCCGUUGCUGACAGGUGUUUAAAAUUGAGCACACAGCCAUGCAAUCUCAAUAGGAAAACAUUGACAGUAGAAUGGCCUGUACUGAAGAGCUCAGUGGCAUUCAAAGUGGUACCGUCAUAGGAUGCCACCUUUCCAACAUGUCAGUUAGUCAAAUUUUUGCCCUGCUAGAGCUGCCCCGGUCAACUGUAAGUGCUGUUAUUGUGAAGUGGAAAAGUCUAGGAGCAACAAUGGCUCAACUGCUAAGUGGUAGGCUACACAAUCUCACUGAACGGGACCUCCGAGUGCUGAAGCGUGUAAAAAUCAUCUGUAUUCGGUUGCAACACUCACUACCGAGUUCCAAACUGCCUCUGGAGGCAACGUCAGAAUAAUAACUGUUUGUCGGGAGCUUCAUGAAAUGGGUUUCCAUGACCAAGCAGCUGCACACAAGCCUAAGCUCACCAUGCGCAAUGCCAAGCGUCGGGCUGGAGUGGUGUAAAACCCGCCGCCAUUGGACUCUGGAGCAGUGGAAAUGCGUUCUCUGGAGUGAUGAAUCACGCUUCACCAUCUGGCAGUCUGACGGACGAAUCUGGGUUUGGCGGAUGCCAGAAGAACGCUACCUGCCAGAAUGCAUAGUGCCAACUGUAAAGUUUGGUGGAGGAGGAAUAAUGGUAUGGGGCUGUUUUUCAUGGUUCGGGCUAUUCCCCUUAGCUCCAGUGAAGGGAAAUGUUAACGCUACAGCAUACAAUGACAUUCUAGACGAUUCUGUGCUUCUAACUUUGUGGCAAUAGUUUGGGGAAGGUUCUUCCCUGUUUUAGCAUGACAAUUCCCCCGUGCACAAAGUGAGGUCCAUACAGAAAUGGUUUGUCAAGAUAGGUGUGGAAGAACUUGACUUGCCUGCACAGAGCCUUGACCUUAACCCCAUAUGAUCGCCAAACAUCAGUGCCUGACCUUACUAAUGCUUGCGCCUGAAUGGAAGCAAGUCCCCGCAGCAAUGUUCCAACAUCUAGUGGUUAGCCUUCCCAGAAGAGUGGAGGCUGUUAUAGCAGCAAAGGGGGAACCAACUCCAUAUUAAUGCCCAUGAUUUUGGAAUGAGAUGUUCGACGAGCAGGUGUCCACAUACUGUUUGUGUAUUUCUGCCUCUGAUGUCUGUAUUGAAGAGAGAGAGAGAGGGUAAGACUAGGGAAAACAGAGAGUUAAAUCCAAAAGAACAUUGGGGUUAAGGAGUAAUAACAGUAGAACAAGGGCACUAAAGCUAACCCAUCCCAUGGAGGAAGGGUGGGAGACAUGGAGAGGGCUGUGUGUGUCUCUGUGGGGUCAUCUGAAGGUAUUUAUAGCUACUUCCUCUUGCGCUCCCUGUUGCCAUGACGUCAUUCAUGUAAGUCUGUGUGUGUGUGUGUGUGUUUCCUGUAGCGUGUCUGUUUAACAUUUGAGUCAUUGAGCACUCUCUUAUCCAGAGCAACUUUCAGGAGCAAUUUGAGUUAAGUGCCUUGCUCAAGGGCAUAUUUUCAGAUUUUUCACAGUCGGUUCAGGGAUUCAAACUAGCAGCCUUUAGGUUACUGGUCCAACGCUCUGAACCACUAGGUUACCUGCCUACAAUUUACAAUUUAGUCAUUUAGCAGACGCUCUUAUACAGAGCAACUUACAGUAGUGAAUGCAUACAUUUCAUGCAUUUUUUUUUUGUUGUACUGGCCCCCCGUGGGAAUCGAACCCACAACCCUGGCGUUGCACACACCAUGCUCUACCAACUGAGCCACAGGGAAGACAUGCCUAGACACAUCAGUUGUGAGAUGGGUGGUCCUGUCCCACCAGCGCCGACAUCAGCCGGUCACAGCCAAUCAGAUGGCGACCCCUCCCCGUUUCAUGCUUCGGCUCGGCCGGCAUUCCAAAAGCACGGCACUAUAUUCCGGGAGCGUUCCCGAGUCAGGCAGCGCAAACAUCCCACUCCCGGCUGAAAGAGGGCACCGCUGAGAGUGUAGGAUGUUUACACUGACUGAAGCCCGGAGAGGUCAUAGGUCGGAAGUUAGAACUCACUCUUACCCACAGAUCAAGGAUAAGAUUACCCUAAUCAUAAACUUUACAGGACUGCAUACCAAUACACCUUAACAGCGUACUUUCCUUGUCCCCUUUCCUUCAAGUACACUGUUUGGUAAAAGGACUUGACAAGUUUCCACCGUGUUGCUUGCCAGUGGUCAGAAAGGGAAGUAGAUAAAGGUAGUAUCCUAGACAAGGAAAGGAAUUUCAAACUAUUGAGAUGCAGCCCAUGAUGAGGAAAACAAGAUGGCAGACGACUCCCACGGAAUAGCAUUAUCUGACAUUUGAGAUCCCUGGGCCCCUGUUCAGCUUUCCCUCAUCCCUCCGCCUCUCUUCUCUCCUGAGGAUGUAAAGUCUCCCUGCCACUGUUAAUCAACUGGCCUGAACAGAGCCUGACAGUCAUUUCCUAUCCUCCCUCUCCCUUUCUCCCACUCUCUUAUUCUGAACUCCUUUGGGCACAGUCAUCAGAGAUGGUGCUAACAGACACACAGCAUAAGGAAAAGUAGCAGUGUGUGUGUGUGUCCAGUUUGUUCACUUUUCAGUGGUCAUGAGGGAAAGGAGACACAGUAAGGAAACCAUCUAACUGAACUAAGAGAAUUGAGACUCAUCCAUAUUUGUAAUCACUGUGGGUUUGCUCCCCUGGGAUGGCCUGUCAAACUGAGAGCUGUCCAGAGUGCUGAAACAGGGUGUGCGCCCCUAAACAUAUUUGGAUUUAAUUGAUCAAUUCAUGUCACAGAAUGCCUAGAGUCCACACUACAGGUCUAAGACGCUAAAUAAAAGGGAGGCGUGACAAUCAGUAGGAAUGUGGCCCUUGCAGGAGUAUGACUUAUUGCUCUAGCUAGCGUACGCCUCUGUUUGGCUCUAUGUGCGCGCUAGAGUAAACCUCUUUGUUUUUAUGGCAGACACAGUUGACUCUGUAAGCCUAAUAGUGAUGGCUAUAACAGUUGUCGCUAUGUAAAAAUAUCUGUAUAGUAGUUGCGAUGAUAAUAGCAGUUGGCAGCUGCAAACAUCCGACUGAAAGCCCUAUAUGAAACACCAGCUUUCAGUCAAGGAUGUUUACAGUAGCCCAUACUGCCAGUUGUCAGUUGUCCUGGAGAGUGUAUAUGCACACUGCUAAAACCACACACCAGGCAUUAGUUGAACUAUUCUUUAGUAACAUACAGCAUAGCCAUAUGUAUAGCUCCAGUUCAGUUUGGCUAACUAUCGCCAUGUUAGCACCAAAGGUCCCACAACAUGCUAACUACAUUGUUAUUGUAUUGGAACAGUUGGUGUUGACAUGGCGCCUUUCAAAAAUCCCAUAUCUCCAACAAACUUGGCUCUAUAGCUACAGCUCUGGAGUCCAGUAUAGGGUCACUGGUCUCCAGUAUGUUUUCUCUGCCUUUCCUUUGUUGUCCUGUAAGCAUGUGACAUUCCACGACGGCAGCCCCCCCACACAAUGUACUGGCGUCAUAUUUCCCAUGUAAACACCACACAGGGCUUCUGUUUAGCCAUCACACACACUCCCACAGGCACACAAACACACACACAGAUACAUAUAGGCUUACACACACACACAGGCUUACACACACACACACACACACACACACACACACACACACACACACACACACACACACACACACACACACACACACACACACACACACACACACACACACACACACACACAGUGAAAUAAACUGAUUGCCCCUUCACACAAAAAGCAGUGUGUCUGCACUGUAGAACUCUCUCCCAGUGGCCUUUCCACCCCUGAUCCCUCAACCAAAACUCUGACUUCCUGCCUCCCCCUGUCUCCUCCUCCUCCUCCCACCAUGCAAUCAAAGUGGCCAUUUCUGUGUUUACCAUACACACUCUCCCACACCCGCCCUAACUCUGCUGUGUGACACUGCUUUUUCCGAGAAACUCUGAGACGCCCCAGGGUGGCAGUCAGAUGACCUUGGGACAGGGCUCUGCCGGGACUUUAUCGAAACGCUGGUAUUCCGAGCACGAUCGUGAACGCUAACAGGACAGUGAAAGAAGAAUGUCUAACUCACACUCCCGGCCCAGUAUAAACUCCAUACCCUGGCCUGUUCUGAGAGACAGGAAGUGCUCCUAUCAUCUCCAUGGGAAAGAGUGGAGCCGGAGACCCCUCCUCAAACAGAAGGCGGGUUUAGAUCAACACACAAAACAGGUUCUCACACACAAAGAGCUUCCCUUUACAAUACCUUACAGAAAACCACUAACCCUUACAGUUUAACUAUCACUCUUUAGAGGUGAAAAUCAUGUCAUGCUUUUCAGAUGGGUGUUAUAUAGACACAUUUGGAGGUAGAAGUAAAAUAAAGAGUACCUGAGCCAUAUCUAUAACUUGGGGGUAUAAUAAACAAUAUAUAAAAAGUCAGUUAUAAGCCUAACUAGCACACUAGGCUAUUUAUCCCUGAAUAAAUUGUGCAAUUUUUUGUUUUCAACAAUCAAUUCUUAUUUAUAAAUGUUUCUAAGCAUGAUUUCCUUUGUUUCUAAAGAUUCAAUAAUAGUCUUGUCUGCACCAUGAAAUAGAAGCGCUUUCUUCCCGCCAUGAAUGGCUGGCUAUUCUCCGAGCCUUACAGCGCCAUUGAACUGCUUGGGGAUGCAAUUGACACAUCCCAGUGGAACUGCCGAGAUGCGCCAUGAAUAUUUUUUUCUCCCUGAGGAAACAGAGGAGGUGGAAUAGGUGAGUGAGGUUUAGGCUCUUCCAAAAGCUAUCAUUGUUUUCUUUGGACAUACUCUAGGCUACUUACCGCUUCACCUCAUCAACGAAAAUGUAAAAAGUUGACUGCGUUAGGCAAGUUAUGCCGGUCCGGGACGAAUAAACUCUCCGCUUUCACGGUACAGGCAGCCCGAUAUGUCUUGAUAGAUAGUAGGUUGUACCGUAGAGUUUGCAAGAAUGGACAACCGCCGGUAUCAUGCUGCGUUAAAAUCAGUCUCCGUAGUGUCUCUGACAAUGCCAACCUGGACACAACAUUCCCAGUCGAGGCAGUUCAGUUGUCUUCAGAUAAAGUUCACAAUAACACCAGAAAAUUAUCCAGAAAAACACACUUAUCUGGCUGUAAAGUGUGGAUGUACAGAACUGCAAAAUGUUAAAAUCUUCUGAGGGGACAGUUGCCGGGAAAAAGCGUCCUUGUCCUCCGUCUUUUUCGAGCUGUCACCCUUUCUUCCGUCCUGUCAGUCUGGAGUUUUUCUAUUAAGAUUCUUGGACUCGAGUCCCUCCCCUUUCUGGCAGAGCUGACCAAUGGCAGACCGGACUGUGCGCAUCAAAGGGGAAAUAAUAGCCUGUUCACUAACGUAACCUUGCGGGCGUCCUUCCGUUGCCAUCCAUGACCUCCAACUGUCCGUCGGUGUUCCAAGGCUCCGGAAUAGCACCUCCAUCCGUUAUCUUUUACGCAGGCAACAUUGAAUUAGUGAUGUUCCAAGCUAGCCCUCCUGAUGUCGUAUGUUCUGGAAAUGAAAGGUUGUGGUGUUCCACAUACGCCAUCCCAACUAGCCACCCAUGGAGUUCGACUUCUGACUGUGUGAACGAGCAAGCUAAUAACACAGACGCAAUGGCUACCUAGUCAAGCUACACUGGUCAUUCCCUUUGACAGGUUUGUUAGCUUGCUAGCCUAGCACGAUGGAAGCAAAAGAGAAUAGAAUGUAAU